Molecule: ribosomal RNA, 490 nt
Filed under: uncultured bacterium
Lineage: Bacteria
Description: partial 16S ribosomal RNA
Rfam family: Bacterial small subunit ribosomal RNA
Source: RNAcentral
GAUGAACGCUAGCUACAGGCUUAACACAUGCAAGUCGAGGGGCAGCAUGGUCUUAGCUUGCUAAGGCCGAUGGCGACCGGCGCACGGGUGAGUAACACGUAUCCAACCUGCCGUCUACUCUUGGACAGCCUUCUGAAAGGAAGAUUAAUACAAGAUGGCAUCAUGAGUUCACAUGUUCACAUGAUUAAAGGUAUUCCGGUAGACGAUGGGGAUGCGUUCCAUUAGAUAGUAGGCGGGGUAACGGCCCACCUAGUCUUCGAUGGAUAGGGGUUCUGAGAGGAAGGUCCCCCACAUUGGAACUGAGACACGGUCCAAACUCCUACGGGAGGCAGCAGUGAGGAAUAUUGGUCAAUGGGCGAGAGCCUGAACCAGCCAAGUAGCGUGAAGGAUGACUGCCCUAUGGGUUGUAAAUUUCUUUUAUAAAGGAAUAAAGUCGGGUAUGCAUACCCGUUUGCAUGUACUUUAUGAAUAAGGAUCGGCUAACUCCGUG